CGCGGAGUGGAGCAGGUGGUAGCUCGUCGGGCUCAUAACCCGAAGGUCGUAGGUUCAAGUCCUAUCUCCGCAACCA
Molecule: transfer RNA, 76 nt
Filed under: Ruminiclostridium sp.
Lineage: Bacteria; Bacillati; Bacillota; Clostridia; Eubacteriales; Oscillospiraceae
Also listed under: 1 other name
Description: tRNA-Met
Rfam family: tRNA
About the family: Transfer RNA (tRNA) molecules are approximately 80 nucleotides in length. Their secondary structure includes four short double-helical elements and three loops (D, anti-codon, and T loops). Further hydrogen bonds mediate the characteristic L-shaped molecular structure. tRNAs have two regions of fundamental functional importance: the anti-codon, which is responsible for specific mRNA codon recognition, and the 3' end, to which the tRNAs corresponding amino acid is attached (by aminoacyl-tRNA synthetases). tRNAs cope with the degeneracy of the genetic code in two manners: having more than one tRNA (with a specific anti-codon) for a particular amino acid; and 'wobble' base-pairing, i.e. permitting non-standard base-pairing at the 3rd anti-codon position.
Source: RNAcentral